UUCCCCUUAGUAACUGCGAGUGAAGCGGGAAAAGCUCAAAUUUAAAAUCUGGCAGCUUUGGCUCUCCGAGUUGUAGUCUGGAGAAGCGUUUUCUGUGCUGGACCGUGUACAAGUCUCUUGGAACAGAGCGUCGUAGAGGGUGAGAAUCCCGUCUUUGACACGGACUCCCAGUGCUUUGUGAUGCGCUCUCAAAGAGUCGAGUUGUUUGGGAAUGCAGCUCAAAAUGGGUGGUAAAUUCCAUCUAAAGCUAAAUAUUGGCGAGAGACCGAUAGCGAACAAGUACCGUGAGGGAAAGAUGAAAAGCACUUUGGAAAGAGAGUUAAACAGUACGUGAAAUUGCUGAAAAGGGAAACGAUUGAAGUCAGUCGCGUCGGCCAGAACUCAGCCUGGCUUUUGCCUGGUGCAUUUUUCUGGUUGACGGGCCAGCAUCAAUUUUGAUCGCUGGAUAAAGGCCUUGGGAAUGUGGCACCUUCGGGUGUGUUAUAGCCCUUGGUUGUAUACAGUGGUUGGGAUUGAGGAUCACAGCAUGCCUUUAUGGCCGGGGUUCGCCCACGUUCAUGCUUAGGAUGCUGGCGUAAUGGCUUUAAACGACCCGUCUUGAAACACGGACCAAGGAGUCUAACAUGCCUGCGAGUGUUUGGGUGGAAAACCCGAGCGCGCAAUGAAAGUGAAAGUUGGGAUCCCUGUCGCGGGGAGCACCGACGCCCGGACCAGACCUUCUGUGACGGAUCCGCGGUAGAGCAUGUAUGUUGGGACCCGAAAGAUGGUGAACUAUGCCUGAAUAGGGUGAAGCCAGAGGAAACUCUGGUGGAGGCUCGUAGCGAUUCUGACGUGCAAAUCGAUCGUCAAAUUUGGGUAUAGGGGGCGAAAGACUAAUCGAAACCAUCUAGUAGCUGGUUCUGCGA
RNAcentral lists this ribosomal RNA (905 nucleotides) under Postia sericeomollis. RNAcentral's name for it is "LSU rRNA". It matches the Rfam family "Eukaryotic large subunit ribosomal RNA", at positions 73 to 964 of the family's 3401-position model. The record is from RNAcentral. Lineage: Eukaryota; Fungi; Basidiomycota; Agaricomycetes; Polyporales; Postiaceae.